This 520-nucleotide ribosomal RNA is filed under the name uncultured Cellulophaga sp. RNAcentral's name for it is "bacterial SSU rRNA". It matches the Rfam family "Bacterial small subunit ribosomal RNA", at positions 340 to 857 of the family's 1533-position model. Lineage: Bacteria; Pseudomonadati; Bacteroidota; Flavobacteriia; Flavobacteriales; Flavobacteriaceae. The record is from RNAcentral.
UACGGGAGGCAGCAGUGAGGAAUAUUGGACAAUGGAGGGGACUCUGAUCCAGCCAUGCCGCGUGCAGGAAGAAUGCCCUAUGGGUAGUAAACUGCUUUUAUACGGGAAGAAAAAGGGCUACGUGUAGCUUACUGACGGUACCGUAAGAAUAAGGACCGGCUAACUCCGUGCCAGCAGCCGCGGUAAUACGGAGGGUCCGAGCGUUAUCCGGAAUUAUUGGGUUUAAAGGGUCCGUAGGCGGGCCGGUAAGUCAGGGGUGAAAGUUUGCAGCUCAACUGUAAAAUUGCCUUUGAUACUGUCGGUCUUGAGUUAUGGUGAAGUUGCCGGAAUAUGUAGUGUAGCGGUGAAAUGCAUAGAUAUUACAUAGAACACCGAUUGCGAAGGCAGGUGACUAACCAUAUACUGACGCUGAUGGACGAAAGCGUGGGGAGCGAACAGGAUUAGAUACCCUGGUAGUCCACGCCGUAAACGAUGGAUACUAGCUGUCCGAGUCCUUGAGACUUGGGCGGCCAAGCGAAAG